RNAcentral lists this ribosomal RNA (255 nucleotides) under uncultured bacterium. RNAcentral's name for it is "partial 16S ribosomal RNA". It matches the Rfam family "Bacterial small subunit ribosomal RNA", at positions 524 to 776 of the family's 1533-position model. The record is from RNAcentral.
GACAGAGGUGCCGAGCGUUUAGGCGGAAUCACUGGGCUUAAAGCGUGUGUAGGCGGAUCUGUAAGUACCUUGUGAAAUCCCACGGCUCAACCGUGGAACUGCUUGGUAUACUGCGGGUCUUGAGCCACCUAGGGGCAAGUGGAACAAACGGUGGAGCGGUGAAAUGCGUAGAUAUCGUUUGGAACGCCAAUGGUGAAAACAACUUGCUGGGGGUGUGCUGACGCUGGAGACACGAAAGCCAGGGGAGCAAACGGG